Molecule: long non-coding RNA, 3506 nt
Filed under: Mizuhopecten yessoensis (Yesso scallop)
Lineage: Eukaryota; Metazoa; Mollusca; Bivalvia; Pectinida; Pectinidae
Description: uncharacterized LOC110465585
Source: RNAcentral
GUAUCCGGUCGCGAUAAAUCGUUUAUUGUUACAAUGUAGAAGGACUGAGUAACUUAAAGCCUUUCUGAAAUGUUUCUCCAUAAACAUGAUGGUGAGGUGGUGUUUAAAAGUGUGACUUCAGUUUACAAGGUGACAUAGACAUGGAAGCGACGCCAUCCACAAGCACAGCUAGUUCCAAAGGGUCCGUAGGGAAGAAACGACAAGUACUCUACUACAUGAUGCCCGCCGUUUUUGUUACGCUGUUCUGCUUCUGGCCCACCGGCAUCAUGGCCAUCAUGAAAGUCACAGAUAUUGAUGACGCUAGGAGGCGGGGAGACGCAAUGUACCUCCAGACGAGUAAGAGUGCCGCUUUAAAGUGGAUAGGCAUGUCAGUAUUGUUUGGAGUGGUAGUUCUCUCCUCUUUGGGCUCCAUCAUAGGAUGGCAAAUAUUCCACAAAUUGUGAGGACCAGAACUGGAAGUGAAUAGAGUCUAUGUUAUCGAAUAAUGCUUUCGCAUGAUGCAAAACAGUCAAAUGCCAUUUGCUUCUGAUUUGGUUAUACAUUCAGCAGCAUUUUAUAUUUUUAAAUAUAUUCAAUUUAAAAAGUACUUGACAUUACCCAUGUAAGUCGAUCACAUUAGCAUACCUGGUGUAUGUAUGUAGGAAUGUGAUGAAUGGUAAAUAUCAACGACUUAUACAUCUAGUGUCGAAUUAGCUGUAAACAGCAAACUGACAUUCUUGCAGCGAUUUUCUUGGUUCGUCCGUUGCUUUUUUUGCCUGCAACUAUUGUAACAUGGCUGAGUCUAAAUGAAAACUGCGUACAAAUCUUACGAUCUUUGAACACGCUCGAUUUUUUUUUUUUAUUUCUUGACAAUGACGACCGUUUGGUAGCGUUAUGAAUACUACUUGCAGUCAGAUUUUUUUGUUACUGCAGUGUAUUAAAUAACCAUGUGUUAGGAGGCCAGGAGACAAAAUUAAUUAUUCAUCGCUUUCAUUUAAUACAUGUAAUGGUAAUUGAAGUGGAAAGUUGACAUUGUUUAUUAUUCUGUUUUUAGCAUCCUACAGUGAAAAUCUGACAGAAAAGAUAUAUCGACUCUAUAAAUUUUCGCUCAGACACGUUAUCUCAAAUAAUCUCGUUUUUGGGACAAAACAAAAAUACAUAUUUAGAUGGAAUCAUCUUUAUUAGUGGUAUUUCUGCUGUCAUAAAAAUAGGCCGGCAAACUGCAUAAUGGUUCGAUUUGUAAUUUUCAAAGAUAUAUAAAAGAAAUUCUCAAGUUGAACAAUUAUUUCGUGAGAUACUCCAUGAGUUACAUCGUGAGUUACCUCGUGAGUAAACCCGUGAGCUACUUCGUGAGUUACAUCGUGAGUUACCUUGCAAGUUACCCCGUGAGUUACAUCGUGAGUUACGCCAUAAGUCACACCGUGAGUUAUGUUGUAAGUUACACUGUGAGUUGCACCGUGAGUUACACCGUUAGUUACACCGUGAGUUACAUCGUGGGUUACACUCUGAGGAAUAUUGUGAGUUACCCCGUAAGUUACAACGCGAGUUACAUCGUGAGCUACACUGUGAGGUACAUUGCGAGUUUCCCCGUGAGUUAAUAGUAAGUUAAUUUGAAACAUAUAGAACAGCGUUGAUACUGACCCAACUUUUAGAUGUACGUCUAAAGGUAGUAUGGCAUGACCAAUGGAAUGUAGAUAUACAUAGACGAAGGUUGAUGCUGUACUACACCCUUAUUGAAUUCGGAUAUGUAGUGCUACUCUUCAAGCACUGCAUAUAUGUAACAGACUUCAUUUAUAUACCUGAUCACCGGCGACCGACCCGAUCUAGUUCUACCACAGCCAAUCCCUCCAUGAACAAAGUCUUCGACCCUGAAGCAACGAGAGACCGCCUACAACAUUCCGUGUGGUUAUGUAAUUGUUAGUGAAACCAUCCAAAUGGCGAGAUCGGGAUGCGAACUUAGGACCUCUGAACUCUAGACAGACACUUUACCUUAUAAACAGCGUUCGACCCAGUCCAGUUCCGCUACAUUUAAAUAAUCUAACUAUAUAUAAUGGUUGUGCUUGCAUACGUUUUGCUUCAAGGCACGCGUGAAAAUACAAAUUAUGAUGGCAUAAAUGCAAUUUCUACCACUUGUUCGCUCUUACAAAAAUUUGAGAAAGAGGGGCUUCCUUAAAUUUUGAAAAUAUCAAACGCAGAUCAAGUACCCAUUUUUCUUUCCAUAUAUGAAAUACACAUCAAAAAAGAAAUGACAUAAGAACAAUUAGCAAAGAAAAUAAAAAAUAGCAAGUGAAACUUAUCCAGGCUUUUAUCGAAACAUUGUAUUGCACCAAAUGUCCAUUUAAUCCAUUUAGAAAUCACAGUGGUGCUAAUACAAUAUAAUGUUUUCCGAAACACAUCUAGAAAUACAGCGAAAGGGGAAAGGUGCAUUUCAUACCCCUCUAACUGUAGUAUUUCUCAAAAACCAUAGUAUUUCAGCUCAAGAUGUCCACCAGCAGAGCCUACCACCUUUUAACUUUCUUAACAAGAACGUUUAGAACUACUUGCAUCUCAUUCUCCAAAACGUGAAAACACCACAAGCUCCUUUCCGUCAACUUAUUUUUUACGUUAACUUACUUUCAUCCUCCAUAAUUUCGAUCUUUACACCCCUGGAAUACGUCAUAGCAAAAUUGAAGGCACGCGGUUAGCUAUUUGAUUGGUGUCUGAUGAAAAAACUUGACCAAUCACUAGGCUGAUACUUGUCCUUUGAAGAUUGCAGAGGAGCGACGCCCGACUUAACAGCCAGUAACGUUUACCGUUACACCACCGCGGGAUUCUUUUGCUGUACAUCAAAGGAUCAAACUAGUCCAUUUCAAUUCAAUUCAAUUUAUUGACUUUAGGCCUUAUGGCCCAUGAAUACAUAUUACAAAUUACACACAAUACAUAAUAAGAAGGUGAAACAGCAAGACAAAAGUGGAGUAGGAUUUAAAGAAAUACAGCUCUUAUCUUAUUUGCUUCAAAAUUAAAUUUGCCGAGACGGCUUAAUUCCUUGUUGUUAUUGACACACAAUAACUGUAUUAAUUGAAACAUUGAAGGUUUUUGCCAAUAGUAUUUUUUGAUAUAUUCACUUCUUAAGUCGUUGUACAUAUUACAUAUUAAUACAAAAUGAUAUUCGUCUUCUACUUCAGUAGUCGACUUACAAAUUGCACAAUAUCUCCUAUUCCGCUCGAUACCUCUAUAACGACCGGUUUCAAUUGCCAAAGAAUGUGCAGACAUACGAAGUUUUGUUAAACAUAUUCUAUAUUACUUAAGCAUAUAAUUAGUUUAAGAAACUGAAUGGAAAAAUGUUUACAAUAUGCUUAUAUAAAAAAUGAUUUCGAGGAAUUCUCUAAUAAACCUCUCAAAUAUUGUUGAGCUCGGUCAAAAAUUCUUUGACGUAUGACAAGGUCAAAUGGAUUAAGCGUUCGAUGGUGAUCGGUCUGCCAAUAUCUGUCUAUGACAGUUUAUAUAUAUGCUGAAAUUAAUGUUUUUGUACAUGUACAUGUAUGUGU